This 92-nucleotide transfer RNA is filed under the name Streptomyces phage Daubenski. RNAcentral describes it as "tRNA-Ser". It matches the Rfam family "tRNA". From Rfam's summary of the family: Transfer RNA (tRNA) molecules are approximately 80 nucleotides in length. The record is from RNAcentral. Lineage: Duplodnaviria; Heunggongvirae; Uroviricota; Caudoviricetes; Stanwilliamsviridae. RNAcentral also lists the same sequence under 1 other name.
GGAAGGUUAAGCCGAGUGAGGACUAACGGCAGCAGUCUUGAAAACUGUUUAGGUGUAAAAGCCUGUGUGGGUUCGAGCCCCACACCUUCCGC